AAACCAACCGGGAUUGCCUUAGUAACGGCGAGUGAAGCUGCAAAAGCUCAAAUUUGAAAUCUGGUACCUUCGGUGCCCGAGUUGUAAUUUGGAGAGGGCAACUUUGGGGCCGUUCCUUGUCUAUGUUCCUUGGAACAGGACGUCAUAGAGGGUGAGAAUCCCGUGUGGCGAGGAGUGCGGUUCUUUGUAAAGUGCCUUCGAAGAGUCGAGUUGUUUGGGAAUGCAGCUCUAAGUGGGUAGUAAAUUCCAUCUAAAGCUAAAUAUUGGCGAGAGACCGAUAGCGAACAAGUACAGUGAUGGAAAGAUGAAAAGAACUUUGAAAAGAGAGUGAAAAAGUACGUGAAAUUGUUGAAAGGGAAGGGCAUUUGAUCAGACAUGGUGUUUGUGCCCUCUGCUCCUUGUGGGUAGGGGAAUCUCGCAUUUCACUGGGCCAGCAUCAGUUUGGUGGCAGGAUAAAUCCAUAGGAAUGUAGCUUGCCUCGGUAAGUAUUAUAGCCUGUGGGAAUACUGCC
RNAcentral lists this ribosomal RNA (511 nucleotides) under uncultured Saccharomyces. Its description in RNAcentral is "eukaryotic LSU rRNA". It matches the Rfam family "Eukaryotic large subunit ribosomal RNA", at positions 62 to 578 of the family's 3401-position model. Lineage: Eukaryota; Fungi; Ascomycota; Saccharomycetes; Saccharomycetales; Saccharomycetaceae. The record is from RNAcentral.